GGUUCCCAAACCAGUCCUCAUGGUCCACCAACAGUCCAGAUUAUGUUAGUAUCCCAAGUGGAAUAAAAAAGGUAAGUACAUAAAUCCUGGAUUGUUGGUGGGCCAUGAGGACUAAUUUAGGAAC
Non-coding RNA from Pelobates cultripes (western spadefoot toad), 124 nucleotides. The record is from the annotation of a GenBank genome assembly. Lineage: Eukaryota; Metazoa; Chordata; Amphibia; Anura; Pelobatidae.